CGCACCUUGCGCCCCUUGGCAUUCCGAGGGGCACGCCUGUUUGAGUGUCGUGAAUAUCUUCCGCCUUUGAUCGUGCGCUCGCUCGCCUUUCGAAUUGGUUCGGGAAUUGGGGGGUUUUGCGGGUCGCCUUGCGUCCGCUCCCCUUAAAUGCAUUAGCGGAAAGGGAACCUUCGCCGACCCUUGGUGUGAUAAACCCAUCUGCACCUCGACCGUUGCGCGGGCUUUCCUCUGCUUCCAACCCGGCUUCUGCCACCAUAAACGAACUUGACCUCAGAUCAGGCGGGACUACCCGCUGAACUUAU
Molecule: unclassified non-coding RNA, 302 nt
Filed under: Peniophoraceae sp.
Lineage: Eukaryota; Fungi; Basidiomycota; Agaricomycetes; Russulales; Peniophoraceae
Description: partial contains 5.8S ribosomal RNA, internal transcribed spacer 2, and large subunit ribosomal RNA
Source: RNAcentral